This is a non-coding RNA of Poecilia reticulata (guppy), 363 nucleotides long. NCBI's taxonomy places the organism in Eukaryota, Metazoa, Chordata, Actinopteri, Cyprinodontiformes, Poeciliidae. The record is from the annotation of a RefSeq genome assembly.
AUGAUGGACUACAGUUCAGCACUGCUCCUUUUAGUCAUCUCUCUGAUGGGUGUUGAUGGUCAGACUCUGACAGAGUCUGAACCAGCAGUAAAAAGACCAGGAGAAUCUCACAAACUGACCUGCACAGCCUCUGGAUUCACAUUCAGUGACCRCUGGAUGGUCUGGGUCAGACAGGMUCCUGGAAAAGGGCUGGAGUGGCUUGCUUUAAUCCACCCAGGCGGUGGCAGCACAUACUAYUCUCAGUCAGUUCAAGGCCGCUUCACCAUCUCCAGAGACAACRGCAAACAGCAGCUGUAUCUGCAGAUGARCAGCCUGAGAACAGAAGAUUCUGCUGUUUAUUUCUGCGCUCGAGAGKCACAGUGA